RNAcentral lists this ribosomal RNA (255 nucleotides) under uncultured bacterium. Its description in RNAcentral is "partial 16S ribosomal RNA". It matches the Rfam family "Bacterial small subunit ribosomal RNA", at positions 524 to 776 of the family's 1533-position model. The record is from RNAcentral.
UACAGAGGUCUCAAGCGUUGUUCGGAUUCAUUGGGCGUAAAGGGUGUGUAGGUGGCGCCGUAAGUCGGGUGUGAAAUUUCGGAGCUUAACUCUGAAACUGCAUUCGAUACUGCGGUGCUUGAGGACUGGAGAGGAGACUGGAAUUCAUGGUGUAGCAGUGAAAUGCGUAGAGAUCGGGAGGAACACCCGUGGCGAAGGCGGCUCACUGGGCUGACCUUGACGCGUGAGGCGGCGAAGGCGUGGGGAGCGAACGGG